This 165-nucleotide ribosomal RNA is filed under the name Trichocomaceae sp. RNAcentral describes it as "partial large subunit ribosomal RNA". It matches the Rfam family "Eukaryotic large subunit ribosomal RNA", at positions 99 to 261 of the family's 3401-position model. Lineage: Eukaryota; Fungi; Ascomycota; Eurotiomycetes; Eurotiales; Trichocomaceae. The record is from RNAcentral.
CGGCAUGAGCUCAAAUUUGAAAUCUGGCCUCUUUGGGGUCCGAGUUGUAAUUUGCAGAGGAUGCUUCGGGAGCGGUCCCCAUCUAAGUGCCCUGGAACGGGCCGUCAUAGAGGGUGAGAAUCCCGUACGUGCCCGGUGGCCGCCCCCGUGUGAAGCUCCUUCGAC